GACACUAUGGCCGAGUGGUUAAGGCGGAAGACUCGAAAUUUUCUAAAGACUAGUUAUCUUCUGGGCUCUGCCCGCGCAGGUUCAAAUCCUGCUGGUGUCG
This is a transfer RNA of 100 nucleotides. It matches the Rfam family "tRNA". From Rfam's summary of the family: Transfer RNA (tRNA) molecules are approximately 80 nucleotides in length. The record is from Rfam.